Molecule: ribosomal RNA, 253 nt
Filed under: uncultured bacterium
Lineage: Bacteria
Description: partial 16S ribosomal RNA
Rfam family: Bacterial small subunit ribosomal RNA
Source: RNAcentral
UACGGAGGGUGCAAGCGUUAUCCGGAUUCACUGGGGUUAAAGGGUGCGUAGGAGGGCAGGUAAGUCAGUGGUGAAAUCCCCGAGCUUAACUUGGGAACUGCCGUUGAUACUAUCUGUCUUGAAUGCUGUGGAGGUGAGCGGAAUAUGUCAUGUAGCGGUGAAAUGCUUAGAUAUGACAUAGAACACCAAUUGCGAAGGCAGCUCGCUACACAGUUAUUGACUCUGAGGCACGAAAGCGUGGGGAUCAAACAGG